CUGGCGGCAGCCUAACACAUGCAGUCGAACGGUAACAGGAAGCAGCUUGCUGCUUCGCUGACGAGUGGCGGACGGGUGAGUAAUGUCUGGGAAACUGCCUGAUGGAGGGGGAUAACUACUGGAAACGGUAGCUAAUACCGCAUAACGUCGCAAGACCAAAGAGGGGGACCUUCGGGCCUCUUGCCAUCGGAUGUGCCCAGAUGGGAUUAGCUAGUGGUGGGGUAACGGCUCACCUAGGCGACGAUCCCUAGCUGGUCUGAGAGGAUGACCAGCCACACUGGAACUGAGACACGGUCCAGACUCCUACGGGAGGCAGCAGUGGGGAAUAUUGCACAAUGGGCGCAAGCCUGAUGCAGCCAUGCCGCGUGUAUGAAGAAGGCCUUUCGGGUUGUAAAGUACUUUUCAGCGGGGAGGAAGGCGAUAAGGUUAAUAACCUUGUUCGAUUGACGUUACCCGCAGAAGAU
This 464-nucleotide ribosomal RNA is filed under the name Enterobacter hormaechei. RNAcentral's name for it is "bacterial SSU rRNA". It matches the Rfam family "Bacterial small subunit ribosomal RNA", at positions 36 to 489 of the family's 1533-position model. Lineage: Bacteria; Pseudomonadati; Pseudomonadota; Gammaproteobacteria; Enterobacterales; Enterobacteriaceae. The record is from RNAcentral.